GACGUAGGGCGCGAGCGUUGUCCGGAUUUAUUGGGCGUAAAGAGCUCGUAGGCGGCUUGUCGCGUCGACUGUGAAAACCCACGGCUUAACUGUGGGCUUGCAGUCGAUACGGGCAGGCUAGAGUUCGGUAGGGGAGUCUGGAAUUCCUGGUGUAGCGGUGAAAUGCGCAGAUAUCAGGAGGAACACCGGUGGCGAAGGCGGGACUCUGGGCCGAUACUGACGCUGAGGAGCGAAAGCGUGGGGAGCGAACAGG
This 253-nucleotide ribosomal RNA is filed under the name uncultured bacterium. RNAcentral's name for it is "partial 16S ribosomal RNA". It matches the Rfam family "Bacterial small subunit ribosomal RNA", at positions 524 to 776 of the family's 1533-position model. The record is from RNAcentral.